GGAGUUGGAUUCACUCGAAGGCGUUGAGCUAACCGCAAGGAGGCAGGCGACCACAGUGGGUUUAGCGACUGGGGUGAAGUCGUAACAAGGUAGCCGUAGGGGAACCUGCGGCUGGAUCACCUCCUUUCUAAGG
This is a ribosomal RNA of 133 nucleotides. It matches the Rfam family "Bacterial small subunit ribosomal RNA", at positions 1407 to 1533 of the family's 1533-position model.